Molecule: long non-coding RNA, 266 nt
Organism: Daphnia carinata
Lineage: Eukaryota; Metazoa; Arthropoda; Branchiopoda; Diplostraca; Daphniidae
Exons: 3
Source: RefSeq, a predicted model, not a curated record
CAGCCAACAUCACAAUUCACAGUCGUGCUUGGAUCUUCCACUGCAACGGUUCCGCUUCUACAACUCGGUCGUCGGACGUUCCGCUUGUCAGGUUCCUUCAGUGCUCCAUGUUUGCUGCGCUUGCCCAUCGUCUUCAAUCGUCAAUAACUGCCCUGCUUCCCUCCUUUGUUCAUCUCUUACAAAUUGAUGGGUGAUGAAGCUUUCAGUUUAGCUUUUCAGCUUUGAAUGUGAGUGUUCUGAGUUUAUCUCAAAAGCUAUGACAAGAC